This 2657-nucleotide ribosomal RNA is filed under the name marine sediment metagenome. Its description in RNAcentral is "bacterial LSU rRNA". It matches the Rfam family "Bacterial large subunit ribosomal RNA", at positions 630 to 2925 of the family's 2925-position model. The record is from RNAcentral.
ACUUUUUGCGGCAAGCUUAACCGUUUAGGGGAGGCGUAGGGAAACCGAGUCUGAAUAGGGCGAAUUAGUCGUAAGGAGUAGACCCGAAACCAAGCGAGCUAUCCAUGGCCAGGGUGAAGGUAGGGUAAUACCUGCUGGAGGCCCGAACCGGGUAAUGUUGAAAAAUUAUCGGAUGAGCUGUGGAUAGGAGUGAAAGGCUAACCAAGCUUGGAGAUAGCUGGUUCUCCUCGAAAGCUAUUUAGGUAGCGCCUCGUGUCUUACUCUCGGGGGUAGAGCACUGUUUCGGCUAGGGGGUCAUCCCGACUUACCAAACCGAUGCAAACUCCGAAUACCGAGAAGUACAAUCACGGGAGACACACGGCGGGUGCUAACGUCCGUCGUGGAAAGGGAAACAACCCAGACCGCCAGCUAAGGUCCCAAAGUUAUAGCUAAGUGGGAAACGAUGUGGGAAGGCAUAGACAGCCAGGAGGUUGGCUUAGAAGCAGCCACCCUUUAAAGAAAGCGUAACAGCUCACUGGUCUAGUCGGCCCGCGCGGAAGAUUUACCGGGGCUCAAGCUAUACACCGAAGCUGCGGACGCAUAAAUUUAUUUAUGCGUGGUAGAGGAGCGUUCUGUAAGCCUGUGAAGGCGUGACCGUGAGGCAUGCUGGAGGUAUCAGAAGUGCGAAUGCUGACAUGAGUAACGAUAAUGUGGGUGAAAAACCUACACGCCGAAAACCCAAGGGUUCCUGCGCAACGCUAAUCGGCGCAGGGUGAGUCGGCCCCUAAGGCGAGACCGAAAGGUGUAGUCGAUGGGAAACAGGUUAAUAUUCCUGUACUGCAAGUUACUGCGAUGAGGGGACGGAGAAGGCUAAGUUUACCGGGCGUUGGUUGUCCCGGGGAAAGCAUGUAGGCGGAGAUCUUUGGAAAAUCCGGGAUCUUGUUAACGUCGAGAUGCAAGACCAUCGACCUUUGUGUCGAGAAGUAGCUGAUGCCAUGCUUCCAGGAAAAGCCUCUAAGCUUCAGGUAACUUGUAACCGUACCGUAAACCGACACAGGUGGGUGAGGAGAGAAUCCUAAGGCGCUUGAGAGAACUCGGGUGAAGGAACUAGGCAAAUUGGUACCGUAACUUCGGGAGAAGGUACGCCCCUGCUGGUGAUGAGACUUGCUCUCUAAGCUGGUGGGGGUUGCAGUGACCAGGUGGCUGCGACUGUUUACUAAAAACACAGCACUAUGCAAACACGUAAGUGGACGUAUAUGGUGUGACGCCUGCCCGGUGCCGGAAGGUUAAUUGAUGAGGUUAGUCCUCGGACGAAGCUUUUGAUCGAAGCCCCGGUAAACGGCGGCCGUAACUAUAGAUUGUUGUAGUUACGUUAAUAAACUUGGCUAUAUGCUGGAAACUCCGGUGUAUCCGUAAGUACUCGUUCGAAAAUCUUUAUUUUGAUUUUUGUUCAGUGAAAAUCUUGCGGUGCGGACAAUCAGCAGGAAAGACUGGCUUUGGCCAGAAUCCUCAGAGACUACACGCCAAGUGCUCGCAAAAUACUUAACUAUUGCCGUCAAUUUUGUGAGUAAUGAUAUAGUCCGAUCUGCAUAGCGAUAUGCAGGGUUUAUGUUCCUUUAAAUCGUAAUAAGCGUGCAUACGAGCUACCGCUUAAACCUAACCAGCAUUUUGUAUUUGCUGGGGAUAACACAGGAUGAACGGUCCUAAGGUAGCGAAAUUCCUUGUCGGGUAAGUUCCGACCUGCACGAAUGGCGUAACGAUGGCCACACUGUCUCCACCCGGGACUCAGUGAAAUUGAAAUAGCUGUGAAGAUGCAGUUUACCUGCGGCUAGACGGAAAGACCCCGUGCACCUUUACUAUAGCUUUGCACUGGACUUUGAACCUAUCUGUGUAGGAUAGGUGGGAGGCUUUGAAGCGGGAACGCCAGUUCUCGUGGAGCCACCCUUGAAAUACCACCCUGGUAUGUUUGAGGUUCUAACCUAGGUCGUUAUCGAUCGGGGACAGUGCAUGGUGGGUAGUUUGACUGGGGCGGUCUCCUCCCAAAGAGUAACGGAGGAGCACAAAGGUACUCUCGGCGCGGUCGGACAUCGCGCGUUGCGUGUAAAGGCAUAAGAGUGCUUGACUGCGAGAUAGACACAUCGAGCAGGAACGAAAGUUGGUCUUAGUGAUCCGGUGGUUCUGUAUGGAAGGGCCAUCGCUAAUCGGAUAAAAGGUACGCCGGGGAUAACAGGCUGAUUCCUCCCAAGAGUCCACAUCGACGGAGGAGUUUGGCACCUCGAUGUCGGCUCAUCACAUCCUGGGGCUGUAGCAGGUCCCAAGGGUAUGGCUGUUCGCCAUUUAAAGUGGUACGCGAGCUGGGUUUAGAACGUCGUGAGACAGUUCGGUCCCUAUCUGCCGUGGGCGUUGGAAAUUUGAAGGGAGCUGCUCCUGGUACGAGAGGACCUUCGUUCCCGUAUCUCUGGUGUUCCGGUUGUCACGCCAGUGGCAUUGCCGGGUAGCUACAUACGGACGGGAUAACCGCUGAAAGCAUCUAAGCGGGAAGCCCCCCCUGAGACUAGAUUUCCCUGGGGACUUGAUCCCCCUGAAGGGUCGUUGAAGACUACAACGUUGAUAGGCUGGGUGUGAAAGCGCAGUAAUGCGUGAAGCUAAACUGUACUAAUUGCCCUUGAGGCUUGGCC